CCUACGGGGGGCUGCAGUGGGGAAUAUUGGACAAUGGGCGAAAGCCUGAUCCAGCCAUGCCGCGUGUGUGAAGAAGGCCUUCGGGUUGUAAAGCACUUUCAGUGGGGAAGAAAGCCUUGGGGCUAAUACCCUCGAGGAAGGACAUCACCCACAGAAGAAGCACCGGCUAACUCCGUGCCAGCAGCCGCGGUAAUACGGAGGGUGCGAGCGUUAAUCGGAAUUACUGGGCGUAAAGCGCGCGUAGGCGGUCUGAUAAGCCGGUUGUGAAAGCCCCGGGCUCAACCUGGGAACGGCAUCCGGAACUGUCAGGCUAGAGUGCAGGAGAGGAAGGUAGAAUUCCCGGUGUAGCGGUGAAAUGCGUAGAGAUCGGGAGGAAUACCAGUGGAGAAGGCGGCCUUCUGGACUGACACUGACGCUGAGGUGCGAAAGCGUGGGUAGCAAACAGGAUUAGAUACCCGAGUAGUC
This 465-nucleotide ribosomal RNA is filed under the name Vreelandella stevensii. RNAcentral describes it as "partial 16S ribosomal RNA". It matches the Rfam family "Bacterial small subunit ribosomal RNA", at positions 338 to 795 of the family's 1533-position model. The record is from RNAcentral. Lineage: Bacteria; Pseudomonadati; Pseudomonadota; Gammaproteobacteria; Oceanospirillales; Halomonadaceae.